GGAGACUUACCCAAGCGGCUGAAGGGUUCGGUCUUGAAAACCGAGAGGUGCUGAAAAGCACGCGAGGGUUCGAAUCCCUCAGUCUCCG
This 88-nucleotide transfer RNA is filed under the name Mycoplasmoides pneumoniae M129. RNAcentral's name for it is "Mycoplasma pneumoniae M129 tRNA". It matches the Rfam family "tRNA". From Rfam's summary of the family: Transfer RNA (tRNA) molecules are approximately 80 nucleotides in length. Their secondary structure includes four short double-helical elements and three loops (D, anti-codon, and T loops). Further hydrogen bonds mediate the characteristic L-shaped molecular structure. tRNAs have two regions of fundamental functional importance: the anti-codon, which is responsible for specific mRNA codon recognition, and the 3' end, to which the tRNAs corresponding amino acid is attached (by aminoacyl-tRNA synthetases). tRNAs cope with the degeneracy of the genetic code in two manners: having more than one tRNA (with a specific anti-codon) for a particular amino acid; and 'wobble' base-pairing, i.e. permitting non-standard base-pairing at the 3rd anti-codon position. The record is from Rfam by way of RNAcentral. Lineage: Bacteria; Bacillati; Mycoplasmatota; Mycoplasmoidales; Mycoplasmoidaceae.